This 399-nucleotide ribosomal RNA is filed under the name uncultured bacterium. RNAcentral describes it as "bacterial SSU rRNA". It matches the Rfam family "Bacterial small subunit ribosomal RNA", at positions 359 to 775 of the family's 1533-position model. The record is from RNAcentral.
GAAUAUUGGACAAUGGGCGCAAGCCUGAUCCAGCCAUGCCGCGUGAGUGAUGAAGGCCUUAGGAUUGUAAAGCUCUUUCACCGGAGAAGAUAAUGACGGUAUCCGGAGAAGAAGCCCCGGCUAACUUCGUGCCAGCAGCCGCGGUAAUACGAAGGGGGCUAGCGUUGUUCGGAAUUACUGGGCGUAAAGCGCACGUAGGCGGAUAUUUAAGUCAGGGGUGAAAUCCCAGAGCUCAACUCUGGAACUGCCUUUGAUACUGGGUAUCUAGAGUAUGGAAGAGGUGAGUGGAAUUCCGAGUGUAGAGGUGAAAUUCGUAGAUAUUCGGAGGAACACCAGUGGCGAAGGCGGCUCACUGGUCCAUUACUGACGCUGAGGUGCGAAAGCGUGGGGAGCAAACAG